GUGCACCAGUCGCGAAACUUCACACUGUGCGAAAGCACGAUGAGGGAAUCCCAAGUGCUUGCACGUAAGUGUAAGCUGUUUCUCUGUCUAAAACGCAGAGAGAGUAAGGGCUGGGUAAGACGGGUGCCAGCCGCCGCGGUAAUACCUGCAGCUCAAGUGGUGACCGUUAUUAUUGGGCCUAAAACGUCCGUAGCCGGUUUAAUAAAUGCCUGGGUAAAUUGCGUAGCUUAACUAUACGAAUUCCGGGUAGACUGGUUAAACUUGAGACCGGGAGAAGUUAGAGGUACUCCUGGGGUAGAGGUGAAAUUCUGUAAUCCUAGGGGGA
This 325-nucleotide ribosomal RNA is filed under the name uncultured microorganism. Its description in RNAcentral is "bacterial SSU rRNA". It matches the Rfam family "Archaeal small subunit ribosomal RNA", at positions 330 to 656 of the family's 1478-position model. The record is from RNAcentral.